Molecule: small nucleolar RNA, 65 nt
Organism: Cercocebus atys (sooty mangabey)
Lineage: Eukaryota; Metazoa; Chordata; Mammalia; Primates; Cercopithecidae
Gene: SNORD115
Rfam family: Small nucleolar RNA SNORD115
About the family: HBII-52 is a member of the C/D class of snoRNAs, which contain the C (UGAUGA) and D (CUGA) box motifs. HBII-52 is encoded in a tandemly repeated array with another C/D snoRNA, HBII-85, in the Prader-Willi syndrome (PWS) region of chromosome 15.
Source: Ensembl
GGGUCGAUGAUGAGAACCUUAUUUUGUCUUGAGGAGAGGUUAUGUGAUGGGUGUUGUGGCAGCUC